Molecule: non-coding RNA, 219 nt
Organism: Schizosaccharomyces pombe (fission yeast)
Lineage: Eukaryota; Fungi; Ascomycota; Schizosaccharomycetes; Schizosaccharomycetales; Schizosaccharomycetaceae
Source: the annotation of a GenBank genome assembly
UUAGGACGAACAGUGAUAUCCAGGAAACCAUAUAGUCCUUUCUAAAAUACAGCAUAGUACACACACCUUUUGUUUACGACCAUCGGCAUGGAAAAAUGCCUUUUGAAGAAGUGUAUUGGAGGGGAGCUGGGUAGAAAAUUUGCCUUGUUGGACCGAUUAAUUGAAAGAAAUUUGAAUACCUCUGGACCGAAUAGGUGAUAGUUAUUUACUAUUGACAAC